AGAGUUUGAUCCUGGCUCAGGACGAACGCUGGCGGCGUGCUUAACACAUGCAAGUCGAGCGGAAAGGCCCUUCGGGGUACUCGAGCGGCGAACGGGUGAGUAACACGUGAGCAACCUGCCCUUGGCUCUGGGAUAGCUCCGGGAAACCGGGAUUAAUACCAGUUAGGACCUGCGCCUGCAUGGGCGCGGGUGGAAAGUUU
Molecule: ribosomal RNA, 200 nt
Filed under: uncultured bacterium
Lineage: Bacteria
Description: partial 16S ribosomal RNA
Rfam family: Bacterial small subunit ribosomal RNA
Source: RNAcentral